AGGCUGUUGGCACAGUUGGUCGGGUGCUGGAUGUGCUUUCUAGAAGUGGUAGGUUGGAUUCCUACACGGCCAG
Molecule: transfer RNA, 73 nt
Filed under: Blumeria hordei DH14
Lineage: Eukaryota; Fungi; Ascomycota; Leotiomycetes; Helotiales; Erysiphaceae
Description: Blumeria graminis f. sp. hordei DH14 tRNA-Ala
Source: RNAcentral